RNAcentral lists this long non-coding RNA (200 nucleotides) under Elaeis guineensis (African oil palm). RNAcentral's name for it is "long non-coding RNA (EGUI_LNC081891)". The record is from RNAcentral. Lineage: Eukaryota; Viridiplantae; Streptophyta; Magnoliopsida; Arecales; Arecaceae.
GAGCUAUGGCUGGUCGAAGGAUAUUCGACUUACCACCGUCUAUCACACAAUGCGACCUCAGUCGCAUUCAUGACUCACCGACCGAGCUACGGUCGGCCGGAAGAUAUUCGGCUUACCACUGUAUAUCAUGAGGCACAGUAUAAAUACCCGACACAAGGGUAUCGGGAUCCGACUUAUCGUCGAUCCCCCGACUAAAUGCA